AAUAAAAUAUAUGAGAAAUAAAAAGAUAAAAAGGAAAAUAGAUGAAAAAAAAUGAUAAAAAAGAGAUGAGAAAUAAUAAAAAAAAUAUGUUAAAAAGGAAAAGAUGAUAAAUAAAAUAUAUGAGAAUGAAAAAGAUGAUAAAAAAUGAGAAAAAAGAGAAGAAACAGAGAAAGAAAAUGAAUAGUAGAGAAAAAAAUGAGUAAUUAUUUAUAUAAGCAAAUUAGUAAUUGAUUUUAGCAAUAGAUUAUUGAUUGUUAAAAAAAAUUAGGGUAGAAAUUUUGAAGAAGAAAAUUUUGCAAUCAAUUCGCAAUUGGUUGCAAAUCAAAAUUUAAAAAAAAAAUUGGUAAAAAUUUUUUGGGAGAAAAAAUAGGUUCAAAAAAUCGGUAGCAACCGAUUUG
This 398-nucleotide unclassified non-coding RNA is filed under the name Hevea brasiliensis (rubber tree). The record is from RNAcentral. Lineage: Eukaryota; Viridiplantae; Streptophyta; Magnoliopsida; Malpighiales; Euphorbiaceae.